AGAGUUUGAUCAUGGCUCAGGACGAACGCUGGCGGCGUGCCUAAUGCAUGCAAGUCGAGCGGGCUACGAUCUUCGGAUUGUAGCUUAGCGGCGAACGGGUGAGUAACACGUAGGUGAUCUACCCUUCAGAGGAGGACAACCUCAGGAAACUGAGGCUAAACCUUCAUACGUUCACUGGUAGGGAUACUGGUGAAGAAAGAGUUACCCCUAGAGGGUAGCUGCUGAAGGAUGAGCCUGCGGCCCAUCAGGUAGUUGGUGAGGUAACGGCUCACCAAGCCGAAGACGGGUAACCGGUCUGAGAGGAUGUCCGGUCACACUGGGACUGAGACACGGCCCAGACUCCUACGGGAGGCAGCAGCAGGGAAUCUUGGGCAAUGGGCGAAAGCCUGACCCAGCGACGCCGCGUGGAGGAAGAAGUCCUUCGGGGCGUAAACUCCUGGACUGGGGGACGAGGAAGGACGGUACCCCA
RNAcentral lists this ribosomal RNA (469 nucleotides) under uncultured bacterium. Its description in RNAcentral is "bacterial SSU rRNA". It matches the Rfam family "Bacterial small subunit ribosomal RNA", at positions 8 to 482 of the family's 1533-position model. The record is from RNAcentral.